Ictalurus punctatus (channel catfish) is the source of this 364-nucleotide long non-coding RNA. Lineage: Eukaryota; Metazoa; Chordata; Actinopteri; Siluriformes; Ictaluridae. The record is from Ensembl.
AAGGAUGGAAGAAGGAAAGGAAGAAAGGAAGAAAGGAUGAAAGAAGGAAAGGAAGAAAGGGAGGAAGGAUGGAAGAAGGAAAGGAAGAAAGGAAGGAAGGAUGGAAGAAGGAAAGGAAGGAAGGAAGGAAGGAUGGAAGAAGAAAGGAAGAAAGGAAGGAAGGAUGGAAGAAGGAAAGGAAGAAAAGGAAGGAAGGAUGGAAGAAGGAAAGGAAGAAAGGAAGGAAGGAUGGAAGAAGGAAAGGAAGAAAGGAAGGAAGGAUGGAAGAAGGAAAGGAAGAAAGGAAGGAAGGAUGGAAGAAGAAACGAGGAAAGAAGGAAGGGAUGAAAAAGAAAGGACGAAAGGAACGGAGAAGAUGAGCGGA